GAUCCUGGCUCAGAUUGAACGCUGGCGGCAGGCCUAACACAUGCAAGUCGAACGGUAACAGGAAGAAGCUUGCUUCUUUGCUGACGAGUAGCGGACGGGUGAGUAAUGUCUGGGAAACUGCCUGAUGGAGGGGGGAUAACUACUGGAAACGGUAGCUAAUACCGCAUAACGUCGCAAGACCAAAGGAGGGGGACCUUCGGGCCUCUUGCCAUCGGAUGUGCCCAGAUGGGAUUAGCUAGUAGGUGGGGUAACGG
Molecule: ribosomal RNA, 254 nt
Filed under: uncultured bacterium
Lineage: Bacteria
Description: partial 16S ribosomal RNA
Rfam family: Bacterial small subunit ribosomal RNA
Source: RNAcentral